Molecule: long non-coding RNA, 2042 nt
Filed under: Calidris pygmaea (Spoon-billed sandpiper)
Lineage: Eukaryota; Metazoa; Chordata; Aves; Charadriiformes; Scolopacidae
Description: lncRNA (ENSCPGG00000002859.1)
Source: RNAcentral
GGCCCUACCUCGACCGGAGGCGUCGUCAGGGGCGGCCGGCCGGAGCCGUCAGCGGGGCGCGGCCGCUUUGCUGGUGUCCCCUCCGUUAGCGGGCGUUACCGGGCGAGCGCGGCCGUUAGUCCGUUCGCCUCAGCUGCGCCUCCGAGGAGGGAGAGCCCCCGCGGGGCGGCAGGCGCGGGCUCGGCCAAGGUGGCUGGCCUCAAGAUGUCCUGGCUAACGAGGGGAGGGAAGUCGAAGGAGAAGGAGGAGGCGGAGAGCCCCCCGAGCCAGGAGGAGCGGGGUGUGCUGGUGCAGGCCAUGCUGGAGCACGGCGGCGACCCGUGGGACUGUCGGGUGGUCGGGCAGGAGCCCUCCCUGAAGGCGGCGGAGAGGCACUGGCUGAACUACGUGUCGUCCUACCACCCCAAGGGGGAGAAGAAGUGCUCGGCCCUGCAGUGGCUCUUGUUCCACCUGGCCCGGGCCUUGCAGGCGGCGGUGGAGGAGAAGGAGCAGUGCAUCCAGAACCUGCAGAACAGUCUGCAGGUGGCUCGCAACGAGGUCCUGGCCCUGCGGUGCGACAGCUCGCAGCUGAGCGAGCAGGCCGAGCAGCUGGGCAAGCUGAGGGAAGAGCUGCGGGCCGAGGCGGCCGAGAACGCCUGCCUGAGGAGGAAGGUGCAGUGCUUGGGCACCCUGCUCUCCCUGGGGAAGGGCUUAGACCAGAGGAAGGUGGCGGCGCUCAACCGAGGAACUCAUGACAUCUGUCUGGGAGCUGAGAGGCCUCUUUGGGAUGAGGUGACAGCAUACAGAAGGGACCUGAGAAACCAGAGAGCAGACAAGAAGUUGCAAGCCUGAGGAUGGCCUUGGCGAGUACGGAACUGUCAGAACCAGAGCCUGAAACUGUGAACUGUACAUCGUUGGUAUCACAUUGCCAUGGGCUGGUUUCCAAAAGCCACUGCUUUGCAGCACUUAAUGCACUUAAUCCUAUACUUGUUAUUAGUUAUGAUAGAAGUUAUGAUGUUCUUUAUUCUUCUAUAUAUGAUUUGCUUGUUUCAGAAGGGAAGAGUGUGCUCACAUGCCUGGUUGAACAUCUUAUGUGCAUUGCUGGCCUAACAGUUGUGGUGGCUUCCAGCCAGAAGGGAUUGAGUUCAUGAGCACCCAAAGUGGUCUGAAUGUCCUCGGAAGAGGUCAGACAGACCAGGGGGUGGCUUGUGAGCGAGAGGUCCCGCUGGAGCACGCAGCCCCAGAGAGCUGAGGCCCCAGCAGUGCUGGCAGAAGGGAGACAAACAAGUGCCUCUGCUGCUGCUCUCCGGUAUGUAAACUGCCAGAUAAGGCCCUGUGAGGGCUUGGCCAGCUUGCACGGGGAUCAAGGCUAAUGUGGAAUAGCUGUGUCUAGUAUUCACAGGAGGUAACCUACACCCAAGGGGACAGCUACAAGGGGGCCAGGCUGCCCGUGGUGGGUGUCCCUGCCGGUAACACCCUGUAAGGCUGUGACUGCUGGGGUAACAGCAUCGGAAAUAUGGCAGUUAGGUAUGGCUGUAGCAAAACCAGGACCAAUUGGGAGGAAGUAAUCGGGGACAGGUUGUUUAUUUGGGAAGAAUUUGGGUGGAGGAGAGGAGGUAGCAAAAAGGUGGAUCCUGGUGCUGAAGAAUGAGGUACGAAAUCCAAGGAAGAAGCCCAGAGGGUUCCUGCUGACAGUUGGACACCUAUGGCCGGUAGCAAAACUGAGCUGCAGACUCAAGCCCUGGGAGGCUGGAAGGCAUCACCUGGGAUAACCCACUGGACUUGCUCCAUCAGGUCUCUGGCUGUACAUCAUGGUGUGGGAGGAUGAAUCAAGGUGCAACCUUGGGACUUACAAAACUGUCACUGAGGGUUGGCAGUGCAUGACACUCAUUAGAUCUGAGAUUGAGAGCUCAUAACUUCAUAGAUGUGCCUUAUGGUUUGCAUAAAUAUGUAACUUGAUGACUGGGAUGGGACUUAGGUUAUUAUCUUUCUAUUCUGCUAGUUUCCUCAGCAUGUGUUCACCAGUCAAUAAACAGUGUGCCUCAGUUAUGUCUUGGUAACUG